CCUACGGGAGGCAGCAGUGGGGAAUAUUGCACAAUGGGCGAAAGCCUGAUGCAGCAACGCAGCGUGAAGGAAGACUGUUCUCGGAUUUUAAACUUCUGUUCUUAGUGAAGAAUAAUGACGGUCACUAAGCAUCAAGCCACUGCUAACUACGUGCCAGCAGCCGCGGUAAUACGUAGGUGGCAAGCGUUUUCCGGAAUUACUGGGUGUAAAGGGAGCGUAGGCGGGAAGCCAAGUCAGCUGUGAAAACUACGGGCUUAACCUGUAGACUGCAGUUGAAACUGGCUUUCUUGAGUGAAGUAGAGGUUGGCGGAAUUCCGAGUGUAGCGGUGAAAUGCGUAGAUAUUCGGAGGAACACCGGUGGCGAAGGCAGCCAACUGGGCUUUAACUGACGCUGAGGCUCGAAAGUGUGGGGAGCAAACAGGAUUAGAUACCCGAGUAGUC
RNAcentral lists this ribosomal RNA (441 nucleotides) under uncultured bacterium. RNAcentral describes it as "partial 16S ribosomal RNA". It matches the Rfam family "Bacterial small subunit ribosomal RNA", at positions 338 to 795 of the family's 1533-position model. The record is from RNAcentral.